RNAcentral lists this ribosomal RNA (657 nucleotides) under Dreissena presbensis. Its description in RNAcentral is "eukaryotic LSU rRNA". It matches the Rfam family "Eukaryotic large subunit ribosomal RNA", at positions 379 to 838 of the family's 3401-position model. Lineage: Eukaryota; Metazoa; Mollusca; Bivalvia; Myida; Dreissenidae. The record is from RNAcentral.
AAGAGAGAGUUCAAGAGUACGUGAAACCGCAUAGAGUCAAACUGGUGGAUCCGCAGAGUCCGCGCGGGGAAUUCAGCUCGGCAGGCGGGGCCGUGCGCCGGCCGAGAUUCGUCUCGGACCUGGCUGGCGCGCUGCGUACUCGCAGGCAGGGUGCACUUUCCCCGGCUAGCGGAAGGCCACGACCGGUUCGGUGGCGGUCAGGAGCCCGGAGCGGGAGGUAGCCGUGAUCGGUUCACGCCGAUUGCGGAACGUACAGCCCUCCGAGGUGGACUCGCCGCUGGACCGAGGAUGCCGCGGUGGCCUCACGCCGCGGGCCGUCCGGGAGCGUUCGACUUUGGCCACGCUGCUCGCAGCCGGCCGAGACCGCGCUUCUGGUACGGGCUCGCGAACGGGGGCCGCCUAGGGUCAGUGGCGAAUCGGUCGGCAACCCACCAGACCCGUCUUGAAACACGGACCAAGGAGUCUAGCAUGUGCGCGAGUCACGGGGUCUCUCGAAACCCAAGGGCGCAAUGAAAGUGAAGGCCGCCUCCGGCUGGCCCAGGCAAGAUCCCGAGACGUUCGCGUCGAGGGCGCACUGCCGGCCCGUCUCGCUGGCAUCGACCACGAGGCGGAGCAAGAGCGCACACGCUGGGACCCGAAAGAUGGUGAACUAUGCCU